This 484-nucleotide ribosomal RNA is filed under the name uncultured bacterium. RNAcentral's name for it is "partial 16S ribosomal RNA". It matches the Rfam family "Bacterial small subunit ribosomal RNA", at positions 29 to 507 of the family's 1533-position model. The record is from RNAcentral.
AUUGAACGCUAGCGGGAUGCUUUACACAUGCAAGUCGAACGGCAGCGCGGACUUCGGUCUGGCGGCGAGUGGCGAACGGGUGAGUAAUGUAUCGGAACGUGCCCAGUAGCGGGGGAUAACUACGCGAAAGCGUAGCUAAUACCGCAUACGCCCUACGGGGGAAAGCAGGGGAUCGUAAGACCUUGCACUAUUGGAGCGGCCGGUAUCGGAUUAGCUAGUUGGUGAGGUAAGGGCUCACCAAGGCGACGAUCCGUAGCUGGUUUGAGAGGACGACCAGCCACACUGGGACGGAGACACGGCCCAGACUCCUACGGGAGGCAGCAGUGGGGAAUUUUGGACAAAGGGGGCAACCCUGAUCCAGCCAUCCCGCGUGUGCGAUGAAGGCCUUCGGGUUGUAAAGCACUUUUGGCAGGAAAGAAACGUCGCGGGCUAAUACCCCGUGGAACUGACGGUACCUGCAGAAUAAGCACCGGCUAACUACGUG